Molecule: ribosomal RNA, 460 nt
Filed under: uncultured bacterium
Lineage: Bacteria
Description: partial 16S ribosomal RNA
Rfam family: Bacterial small subunit ribosomal RNA
Source: RNAcentral
CCUACGGGAGGCAGCAGUGAGGAAUAUUGGUCAAUGGACGAGAGUCUGAACCAGCCAAGUAGCGUGAAGGAUGACUGCCCUAUGGGUUGUAAACUUCUUUUAUAUGGGAAUAAAAUGUUCCACGUGUGGGAUUUUGUAUGUACCCUAUGAAUAAGGAUCGGCUAACUCCGUGCCAGCAGCCGCGGUAAUACGGAGGAUCCGAGCGUUAUCCGGAUUUAUUGGGUUUAAAGGGAGCGUAGGUGGAUUGUUAAGUCAGUUGUGAAAGUUUGUGGCUCAACCGUAAAAUUGCAGUUGAAACUGGCAGUCUUGAGUACAGUAGAGGUGGGCGGAAUUCGUGGUGUAGCGGUGAAAUGCUUAGAUAUCACGAAGAACUCCGAUUGCGAAGGCAGUUCACUGGACUGCAACUGACACUGAGGCUCGAAAGUGUGGGUAUCAAACAGGAUUAGAUACCCGAGUAGUC